ACUCCUACGGGAGGCAGCAGUGGGGAAUCUUGGACAGUGGGCGCAAGCCUGAUCCAGCCAUGCCGCGUGAGUGAAGAAGGCCUUCGGGUUGUAAAGCUCUUUUGUCAGGGACGAUAAUGACGGUACCUGAAGAAUAAGCCCCGGCAAACUUCGUGCCAGCAGCCGCGGUAAU
Molecule: ribosomal RNA, 172 nt
Filed under: uncultured bacterium
Lineage: Bacteria
Description: partial 16S ribosomal RNA
Rfam family: Bacterial small subunit ribosomal RNA
Source: RNAcentral